AUUGAACGCUGGCGGCAGGCCUAACACAUGCAAGUCGAACGAGAGGCGGACGGGUGAGCAAGGUAGUGGCAACUGCCCGAUGGAGGGGUAUAAAUAGGGGAAACGUUAGAUAAUAGCGCUAACCGGGGGAUGUGCCGAGGUGGGAUUAGGUAGUAGGUGGGGUAACGGCUCACCGAGGCGACGAUCCCUAGCUGGUCGGAGAGGAUGACCAGCCACACUGGAACGGAGACACGGUCCAGACUCCUACGGGAGGCAGCAGUGGGGAAUAUUGCACAAUGGGCGAAAGUCUGAUCCAGCCAUGCCGCGUGUAUGAAGAAGGCCUUCGGGUUGUAAAGUACUUUCAGUGAGGAAGCGUUACCCGCAGAAGAAGCACCGGCUAACUCCGUGCCAGCAGCCGCGGUAAUUC
Molecule: ribosomal RNA, 406 nt
Filed under: uncultured bacterium
Lineage: Bacteria
Description: partial 16S ribosomal RNA
Rfam family: Bacterial small subunit ribosomal RNA
Source: RNAcentral